AGAGUUUGAUCCUGGCUCAGAUUGAACGCUGGCGGCAGGCCUAACACAUGCAAGUCGAGCGGAUGAGUGGAGCUUGCUCCAUGAUUCAGCGGCGGACGGGUGAGUAAUGCCUAGGAAUCUGCCUGGUAGUGGGGGACAACGUUUCGAAAGGAACGCUAAUACCGCAUACGUCCUACGGGAGAAAGUGGGGGAUCUUCGGACCUCACGCUAUCAGAUGAGCCUAGGUCGGAUUAGCUAGUUGGUGAGGUAAAGGCUCACCAAGGCGACGAUCCGUAACUGGUCUGAGAGGAUGAUCAGUCACACUGGAACUGAGACACGGUCCAGACUCCUACGGGAGGCAGCAGUGGGGAAUAUUGGACAAUGGGCGAAAGCCUGAUCCAGCCAUGCCGCGUGUG
Molecule: ribosomal RNA, 395 nt
Filed under: uncultured bacterium
Lineage: Bacteria
Description: bacterial SSU rRNA
Rfam family: Bacterial small subunit ribosomal RNA
Source: RNAcentral